GUACACGCUGUGACUAGCAUAUCAAUAAGCGGAGGAAAAGAAACUAACAAGGAUUCCCCUAGUAACGGCGAGUGAAGCGGGAAGAGCUCAAAUUUGAAAUCUUAAAGGGUUUCCCUUUACGAAUUGUAGUUUAAAGAAGUGUUUUCUGUUGAUGUUUUGGUAAAAGUUCUUUGGAAUAGGACAUCAUAGAGGGUGAGAAUCCCGUAUUUGACCUUUACUUUCAACUUUGUGAUACACUUUCAAAGAGUCGGAUUGUUUGGGAAUGCAGUCCAAAAUGGGUGGUAAAUUUCAUCUAAAGCUAAAUAUUGGCGAGAGACCGAUAGCGAACAAGUACCGUGAGGGAAAGAUGAAAAGAACUUUGAAAAGAGAGUUAAACAGUACGUGAAAUUGUCAAAAGGGAAGCGUUUCGACACCAGUGUUGUUUUUUCUGAAAAUCAAUUAAAGAAGCUGUUUAUGCUAAGUUGUUUAGACUUUAUCAACUAACUGUUUAGUUUUGAGCUUUUCUUUAAUGCACUUUUUCAGUUAACAAGUCAACAUCAAUUUCUUUUGCUGUAAAAAAGCUUGAGGAAGGUGGCUUGAGAUUCGUCUUAAGUGUUUAUAGCCUCUUGCCUAUGCAGUCGGAGAGAUUGAGGUCUGCAGCGUAGAUCCUUCGGGGCUAAAUGCAUUUGUGCUAAGUUAUAACAUUUUAUAGACAACUUGUUGACUAUGAUUUGUCUUGUAGCUUACUCGCUUAUGUUAUUUUACCUACGCUUAGGAUGUUGACAGCAGUAUAGACUGU
RNAcentral lists this ribosomal RNA (778 nucleotides) under uncultured Neocallimastigales. Its description in RNAcentral is "partial large subunit ribosomal RNA". It matches the Rfam family "Eukaryotic large subunit ribosomal RNA", at positions 22 to 629 of the family's 3401-position model. Lineage: Eukaryota; Fungi; Neocallimastigomycota; Neocallimastigomycetes; Neocallimastigales. The record is from RNAcentral.